CUACGUGCCAGCAGCCGCGGUAAUACGUAGGUGGCAGGCGUUGUCCGGAAUUAUUGGGCGUAAAGCGCGCGCAGGCGGAUCAGUUAGUCUGUCUUAAAAGUUCGGGGCUUAACCCCGUGAUGGGAUGGAAACUGCUGAUCUAGAGUAUCGGAGAGGAAAGUGGAAUUCCUAGUGUAGCGGUGAAAUGCGUAGAUAUUAGGAAGAACACCAGUGGCGAAGGCGACUUUCUGGACGAAAACUGACGCUGAGGCGCGAAAGCCAGGGGAGCGAACGGGAUUAGAUACCCCGGUAGUCCUGGCCGUAAACGAUGGGUACUAGGUGUAGGAGGUAUCGACCCCUUCUGUGCCGGAGUUAACGCAAUAAGUACCCCGCCUGGGGAGUACGACCGCAAGGUUGAAACUCAAAGGAAUUGACGGGGGCCCGCACAAGCGGUGGAGUAUGUGGUUUAAUUCGACGCAACGCGAAGAACCUUACCAGGUCUUGACAU
RNAcentral lists this ribosomal RNA (487 nucleotides) under uncultured bacterium. Its description in RNAcentral is "bacterial SSU rRNA". It matches the Rfam family "Bacterial small subunit ribosomal RNA", at positions 501 to 987 of the family's 1533-position model. The record is from RNAcentral.